UGCUGGAUAGUAAAAUUAUUGAAGUCUUUACAUCUGAUACAUGUAGUGGAAGGUGUUGGUGAAGAUAAAGACCAGAUUGAAGUCAAUAAUUUCACCCUCAUCAAUUUUGUUCUGAAGCUUGUUGGGCCUACACAUGAACAAACUCUUACAAUUUAUAUGCUUCUUAUUCAAGUCAUGUGCAGUGUUUGUGCAUUUAUCAUUCGUUACCAACUUGCAAGACUUUUCUAUGAUAUCGUUGAUUAAUUAUUUUCAUAUCGUUAAUUGUUGAUGAGUUGAAGAAACUUUACUUUGUAAGAUUAAGAACAAGUAUGUAACCAAAAAUGCAAUUUAUAUAAUUAAACAUACAGAUGUAUGGACAAUAGAAUGGGUACUAAGUGGUACCAUAAGCAUCCAAUUUUACAGCUUCACUCUUGUGUAUGGUUUAGAGCAACAUUUUGAGAUCAUGUGGACAAGAAAUAUUACCUUUUUAUAAUUUGAACAUCAGUGAAGUAUUUCAUGAUGAAUACUCAGUGAAAUAGCCAAAAUGUAAAUCAUUGCAAAUAAGCAUAAAACAUAUGUGGUCUCAAAAGAUGUAUACCUAUUUUAAAAUAUGUUAAUUAAUUUUGAGUUAAUAACAAUGAUAGAAUGAAGUAAAAUUUUAAAAUAACUGUUAAACAGUUGGGUGGGUAGGACAUUUUGUUGGAUAGAUGUUAUGGAUGAGAGAAAAUUAGUGUACUGUAGUUACAAAACAUUUACUAAUGAAACAAUAAAAACUUGUUUAUUUCAUACUUUUAUUCCACUACAGAACUGUUUCGUAUGUUCAGCCAAGCUGGCUACACUGAUCAGGUGAAUGUACAACUGAUACAAUAUUAAGGGAGAGUUAGAAUACAAAUGAUUGAGAAGCAGAUAACAGUGAUUGCCUCAGUUGUACACAUCCACCAGAUGAGUAGUCAGCCAAGCAGGCUCCAUUCAUCAGGUGCAUGUACAACUGAUACAAUAUUAAGGGUGAGUUAGAAUGAAAAUGGUAGAGAAGCAGAUAGUGAACAAUGGUUGUAUCGGGUGUAUGCAUCCACCUGAUGAGUGUUGUCAGCUCCACUGACUAUACAUUUGUAAUGAAAAAAGUAUGAAGGAAAAAAGUUUAUUAUUUUCUGUUUAUAAACACUGAAUUAGCUGUACUUCUGUAUUGAUAAAAAAUGUGUCAUAAUAAGAAAAUCCAAGGGUGUAAAGCACUUGGCCUCAUAGCUUAUAU
Molecule: long non-coding RNA, 1228 nt
Organism: Anneissia japonica
Lineage: Eukaryota; Metazoa; Echinodermata; Crinoidea; Comatulida; Comatulidae
Exons: 2
Source: RefSeq, a predicted model, not a curated record